UCAGGACACAGUUUAGAUAUGAGGGUCCAGGUUCAGUUUCUGGGGCUCCUUCUGUUCUGGACAACAGGUGCCCAGUGUGAUGUCCAGAUGACCCAGUCUCCGUCUUAUCUUGCUGCGUCUCCUGGAGAAAGUGUUUCCAUCAGUUGCAAGGCAAGUAAGAGCAUUAGCAAGUAUUUAGCCUGGUAUCAGGAGAAACCUGGGAAAGCAAAUAAACUUCUUAUCUACUCUGGGUCAACUUUGCAAUCUGGAACUCCAUCGAGGUUCAGUGGCAGUGGAUCUGGUACAGAUUUCACUCUCACCAUCAGAAGCCUGGAACCUGAAGAUUUUGCAGUCUAUUACUGUCAACAGCAUACGUCUCUUUUGAUUACUUUUGGUUGA
Non-coding RNA from Rattus rattus (black rat), 378 nucleotides. The record is from the annotation of a RefSeq genome assembly. NCBI's taxonomy places the organism in Eukaryota, Metazoa, Chordata, Mammalia, Rodentia, Muridae.